This 357-nucleotide transfer-messenger RNA is filed under the name Massilia varians. It matches the Rfam family "transfer-messenger RNA". From Rfam's summary of the family: Bacterial tmRNA, also known as 10Sa RNA or SsrA, is named for its dual tRNA and mRNA-like properties. Its role is to liberate the mRNA from a stalled ribosome. To accomplish this part of the tmRNA is used as a reading frame that ends in a translation stop signal. Lineage: Bacteria; Pseudomonadati; Pseudomonadota; Betaproteobacteria; Burkholderiales; Oxalobacteraceae. The record is from RNAcentral.
GGGGGCGACCUGGUUUCGACACUGGCAGCGAAGUAGUUCAGGGCAUACCGAGGACUGGUUACCUCGUAAAUACAUCCAGAAACGCAAUAACUGCAAACGAUAACUCGUACGCACUCGCAGCCUAAUCGCUGCUAGCUCUACAACACCUCGCCCCUGGGGUGUGCCGCAAGGCAAGUAGAGUCAUUUACAGGGGCUAGGAAUCAGUUGGGUUACUUGGCUGCUUCCGAAACUUAAGGUAACUCGCUUGCAAGAAGGGUGCACGUCUCCGUCUUGCGGGUUAAAUUAAUUGACAGUGCUAAGUAUGUAGAACUGGCUAUGUAACUCUGGUGGACGCGGGUUCGAUUCCCGCCGCCUCCA